This 492-nucleotide ribosomal RNA is filed under the name uncultured bacterium. RNAcentral describes it as "partial 16S ribosomal RNA". It matches the Rfam family "Bacterial small subunit ribosomal RNA", at positions 29 to 507 of the family's 1533-position model. The record is from RNAcentral.
AGUGAACGCUGGCGGUAGGCCUAACACAUGCAAGUCGAACGGCAGCACAGUAAGAGCUUGCUCUUACGGGUGGCGAGUGGCGGACGGGUGAGGAAUACAUCGGAAUCUACUUUUUCGUGGGGGAUAACGUAGGGAAACUUACGCUAAUACCGCAUACGACCUACGGGUGAAAGCAGGGGAUCUUCGGACCUUGCGCGAUUGAAUGAGCCGAUGUCGGAUUAGCUAGUUGGCGGGGUAAAGGCCCACCAAGGCGACGAUCCGUAGCUGGUCUGAGAGGAUGAAUCGGCACAAUGGCAGUGAGGAACGGUACAGACUCCGACAGUGGGAAGCAGUGGGGAAUAUUGGACAAUGGGCGCAAGCCUGAUCCAGCCAUACCGCGUGGGUGAAGAAGGACUUCGGGUUGUAAAGCCCUUUUGUUGGGAAAGAAAAGCAGCAGGUUAAUACCCCGCUGUUCUGACGGUACCGAAAGAAUAAGCACCGGCUAACUUCGUG